CGGUGCUUAGCUUAUGUAAAGCAUCAGUGACAUGACACAUCAUUUAAUUGGUUAAUUAUUAUAUUCAUGAGACCUACCAUUAACUUAUUCACCAAUUAAAUAAUAUAUCAUGUCACCGAUGCUUAACAUAAACUAAAUACUAGUGUUUAAAAGAUCAUUUCCGUAUAUUACACACCACCCCACUUUUCCUAUUUUUUUAUCCAUUUCCUCCAAGUCACAAUUCACGUUCACUCUCAAAACCACUACCACCACCGCUCGCCCAUACCAAUUCCACCAUCGCAACCUACCACUAAGACCCAUUCCAAACUCACCCUACCUGUAGAAACCAUAACCAUAAUCCUAACCCUAACUCCAACCCCAUUUCUACACCAAUGAAUGGUUUUACAGGCUGCUCGACCCUUGAUUUGUAUCGUGAGGCCAGUCGAAGUUAAGGAGGAAGACUGCGGCCUGAUAUCAUCAUCGAUGCAGUCCGUUUUGACGAUUUAGGUAGCUGGAGGAAGCUUUGUAUAGGGCAGCAGCGCUAAGGUUUCCACCUAGAGCCACCGCUAACUGAAUGGGUUUAGAGACCACUGGAGCUCCUGUAGCAGGAUUCAAGUCCGGAAGGGAGACAGCGACCUUAUUCCACCCUUGAUAAAGUUCGUUUCAAGCGAUUUGGGUCGCGAGAGAAAGCUUUGGAUGGGGCGGCAACUCUAGGGUUCCCACCCAAGGCCAUCAUCAACUGAAUGAUUUUAGGGGCUAUUGAGGCCUAUAGUAUGUAGCGUGAGGUCGAUCAAAGGUAGGGAAGGAGACGACGACGUGAUUCAAUUGUGGGUGCAAUGCAUUUUCGAUAAUUUGGGUGGUGGAAAAGAAGCUUUAGAGUGGCGUAGGUGUGAUGUGGGGAUGUGACAAGUUAAUUUAAUAAUUGAUAACAAAUAAAUAAUUAGUUAUUUAUAAAAAUGUGUAAUUUGUGAUUAAAUUUGUAAUUGUGACCUAUAAAUUGUGUCUUUGUAACCUGACCUUGUGCAACUUGUGAGUAGCAUGUUAUCG
RNAcentral lists this long non-coding RNA (1026 nucleotides) under Olea europaea subsp. europaea. Lineage: Eukaryota; Viridiplantae; Streptophyta; Magnoliopsida; Lamiales; Oleaceae. The record is from RNAcentral.